Triticum urartu is the source of this 135-nucleotide non-coding RNA. Lineage: Eukaryota; Viridiplantae; Streptophyta; Magnoliopsida; Poales; Poaceae. The record is from Rfam.
GAUGUACUUCCUCCGUCCGAAAAAACUUGUCAUCAAACUGGACAAAAAGGGGUGUAUCUAAAACUAAAAUACAUCUAGAUACAUCCCCUUUGAUUCAUUUUGAUGACAAGUAUUUCUGGACGGAGGGAGUAUGAU